Molecule: non-coding RNA, 72 nt
Organism: Xenopus tropicalis (tropical clawed frog)
Lineage: Eukaryota; Metazoa; Chordata; Amphibia; Anura; Pipidae
Source: Rfam
GCGCUAGUAGUGUAGGGGUAUCAUGCAAGAUUCCCAUUCUGUGCGACCCGGGUCCGAGUCCCGGCUAGCGCA